CCACCCCAGGAGACCCCCACCCUGAACCCCGUGACCCCCCCAGGACACCCACUGGCCGGGGGGCUGGAGCCGUGUGGGAGGAAGAGGCAGAUGGUGGCCACGGUGGCCACAGCGGAGGUGGCCGUGCUGCUCAGAACGUCCCCGGUGGUCCCGGCAGAGCCGUGGCCCAGCGCCCCGGUGGCUUCGGUGGCAUUGGGCGGGGCCUGGGGCGUCACCGCCGUGGUCUCGGUGACAUCCAGGGUGGUGUUGGUGGCAUUGGGCGGGGCUGGCGUUGAGGUGACGUCAGCAGGGACAAUGGGGAGGGUGGACAGGGUGUGGCUCUCCAGGGUGGUGGCCCUGGUGGUGUUCCCCAUGGCCCUGGUGUCACUUUCCAUGGUGGUGGCCCUGGUGUUGUUCUCCAUGGCCCUGGUGUGGCCUCCCAUGGUGGCCACCGGCAUGGCCGUGGUGUCACUUUCCAUGGUGGUGGCCCUGGUGGCAUUCCCCAUGGCCGUGGUGUCACUUUCCAUGGUGGUGGCCCUGCUGAGGCCUCCCAGGAGCUCUGGCAGCAUCGUCGUGGUGUCACUUUCCACGGUGGUGGCCCUGGUGUUCCUUACUGUGGUGGCCACCGGUGUGGCCUCAGUGUCACCUUCCAUGGGGGUGGCCUCGGUGUCACCUUCUAUGGGGGUGGCCUCGGUGUCACCCUCGGUGACCUCGUUCUCACCCUCCAUGGCCGUGGUCUCUCCCUCCGCGAGGUCUGAGGGAGUGACCGCGGUGUCACCGUCCACGGCUGCGGUCUCACCCUCCAGGGUGGUGGCCCCGCUGUGGCUCCUCACGGACCAGCCCGUGACGUUUCUCACCCGCCGCUCUGGUGGCACCGUCGUGGUGUUGUCCCCUGUGGUGGUGGCCAUGGGGACACUGCCCCUGACCCUGGUGGCCCUCUCUGUGCUGGUGACCACGUCAUGGUCCAUGGUGGUGACCACGUCAUGGUCCGAGCUGGUGGCCACAUCAUGGUCAGUGCUGGUGACCACGUCAUGGUCAGUGCUGGUGACCACAUCAUGGUCCGUGUUGGCACUGACCAUCAUGUCCCUCUCUGUGGUGGUGACCACGUCAUGGUCAGAGCUGGUGACAACAUCAUGGUCCGUGUUGGCGCUGACCACCGCGGUGACCGUGCCGUUCCUUCCCAUGACGCUGCCACUGGUGAUGGCCCUGGUGACAUUUCCCACCGUGGUGGCCCCGGUGACACUUCCCACGAUGGUGGCCCCGGUGACACUUCCCACCGUGGUGGCCCUGGUGACACUUCCCACCGUGGUGGCAUUUCCCUCCUCAGUUCUUCCCGUGACAUUCCUCUCCCUCCUCGCCGGUGGCGCGUCCGUGCCGCUCUCCUCGGUGCCACCCCCCGCCGCCGUCACCGUCACCGUCACCGUGUCGUUCGUCCCCGCGGUGUCACCGACGUACAACGCCUU
Molecule: long non-coding RNA, 1442 nt
Filed under: Parus major (Great Tit)
Lineage: Eukaryota; Metazoa; Chordata; Aves; Passeriformes; Paridae
Description: lncRNA (ENSPMJG00000015995.1)
Source: RNAcentral